UACAUAAACUCGAUUUACUUGUAGAGCAUUUCCAGAAUAAUGAUGACCAACUAAGAUCUCCAGUUAUUAUAUUAUCCUGCUAAAAAGUUUUUAUGAUAAAAAAACGGCCUUGCAAAUAUUUCGAUUUAAAACUCCGUAUUAACUGGUGCCACAUGCCCUCAUUAUCCAACCUGCUCUAUGGAUCUUUGUAUCUGGUUUUUGGACGGUUGCCAGCCUUCCUUGCCAUUUGACGUGUUUUGGAUGGGCACUCGUCGAUAAAAAGGACCUUAUACUCCGAGAUCAAUCAAAGCUCGUGAUAACCGCCUAUCUAGCCCAGACGACCACACGUGUAAACUCUUUUACUACAUUGCUGCUUGCGACAGGAUUUACAUAAGCUUGAAUUAACUCUUUCAUCGAAACGAAACAAUAGUGAAUCCAAAUGCUAAGUCCACGAUGCACAAAAAUCUCAGAAAAUCAUUCAGGUAUUACCGAGUGAAGGUCUUUUUCUUAGUCUUGUUUUGCGAAGGACUUUUUGGUAGAGUGGCUCACAGAAUAAGUGACCUAGAUCGCCGUUCGUGUCGCUCGUUGAUAGCCAAGAUCUAGUGCGGGUCGUUGCUGUGUUAUGCCUAAGACCAUUAGCAAAUACGUCGUCGGCUCAGAGGCAACCUGGUCAAACCUGGUGUUUGGGUUUGUUGGCUAAGCUCUUUUCUCGUACCAUAUUCACGUUGUACCAUCGCGCAUUCCCCAUAGAAGAGCUCACAAAGACCCCGGUUAAAGAGCAAGCGAGAUCAAUCCACCUACACCUUCUGCCCGUCGAGAAAAACAAUCUUUUUGGCCGUUCUCAAGUUUACACAGCGCACCAGCAGACUUUGUUUUGCGUCUAUCUGCCUUCUAGAGCCUUUUCCUUCUACGGAACAUCACGAAGAAGCACACACUCCGUUUGACUGAGUUAAGAUCUGUGCAUCGCCGAGACUCCCUUUGCUUCGCAGCCCCCCAACACAUGUUCCUUUGUUUAGCUAAGUACGCAUGCGCAGGAACUGACAUACCUUAUGCGCAUGUCACUAAAAUCGGCGCAUUCUUUUGCAUAGAAAGUAACACCAGUUUUCGCAGUUUGGUAAACUUAUAUCACAUUUAUAAAAAAGAGCAAAAAGACGCACACUAAAUGUUUGGUACGGAUCCUAAGGCUUUGUGUAGUUGAUACGGGACUAAAAAAGUAAAGAAAGAAUGCAAAAAUUGAAUAAAAUCAAAAUUCUAAAAGCUAGGAAAAUCCCCUUAUAUUUUUCAAUUCAUACUUGAUUUAAAUUUGCAAUUCCUCUUAUCACUUUUAAACACAUUUAUACAUUGAAAAAUAAACCACCCAGGCUGUAUCUACGCGGCACCCUUGCAGGUUUCAUGGGUCCUCGUGUGCCACAAUAUUAAGGCAGUUUUUAUUACCCGUCUGGCUAUAGCGCCGUUGACAUGUUUUGCAUAUAUUAGCACAGUACGCCCAGACAUGUUGUCGCUUGCCUAGCCCGCCCGUAACGAAACCCACGACACGUAAGGCGAAAAUAAUUCUCAAAACCUUUAUAUCGUCAUCACCAGCUCAUCCAGCGACUCAGGUACGACACGUAGCGAGCUCUAGGUGACAUCGAUGUCCAACGAGGAUUUGUGGAGUUAUUGCAAAACGAUUUAUGUGAUACUUCAGUUACCGUCACUUCGCCACAACAUUUAACUCUCGCUUAAAGGUCAAGAGGAUUUCAUGACAAGAGCGCAAUGCUAACGACGACUUCCAGCCACGGACCAACUAAAAAAUAGCAAUCUGCAAACUCAACAAAAAGCGCGCGAAAAAAGUCGGACCUUUGCGGGGGUAUUGUUUGGGAGACAAAUUAGAUAGUGGUAAAAAACAACCUUUCAGAGAAAUGAUUCAAAAUUCGGUGUUUUUCGAAAUUUGAGACCGCAGAAAUACUAAAAAGCACUAGGAAGAAAGUCUUCAAAUAAAGUAACCAAGGUAAACAA
Nematostella vectensis (starlet sea anemone) is the source of this 1974-nucleotide long non-coding RNA. RefSeq lists it as uncharacterized. Lineage: Eukaryota; Metazoa; Cnidaria; Anthozoa; Actiniaria; Edwardsiidae. The transcript is spliced from 3 exons. The record is from RefSeq and is a predicted model, not a curated record.